GGUGAACGCUGGCGGCGUGCCUAAGACAUGCAAGUCGUGCGGGCCAUGGGGUUUUACUCCGUGGUCAGCGGCGGACGGGUGAGUAACGCGUAGGCAACCUGCCCCAUACAAAGGGAUAGCAUUUGGAAACGAAUAUUAAUACCUUAUGAAACUUAACUAGUGCAUGCUAGGUAGGUCAAAGAUUUAUCGGUAUGGGAUGGGCCUGCGUCUGAUUAGCUAGUUGGUGAGGUAACGGCUCACCAAGGCGACGAUCAGUAGCCGACCUGAGAGGGUGAACGGCCACAUUGGAACUGAGACACGGUCCAAACUCCUACGGGAGGCAGCAGUGGGGAAUAUUGCACAAUGGGGGAAACCCUGAUGCAGCAACGCCGCGUGAACGAUGAAGGCCUUUGGGUCGUAAAGUUCUGUUCUAGGUGAUGAAAACUGACAGUAACCUAGGAGAAAGCCCCGGCUAACUCCGUG
RNAcentral lists this ribosomal RNA (462 nucleotides) under uncultured bacterium. Its description in RNAcentral is "partial 16S ribosomal RNA". It matches the Rfam family "Bacterial small subunit ribosomal RNA", at positions 28 to 507 of the family's 1533-position model. The record is from RNAcentral.